Anas platyrhynchos (mallard) is the source of this 2522-nucleotide non-coding RNA. Lineage: Eukaryota; Metazoa; Chordata; Aves; Anseriformes; Anatidae. The record is from RefSeq and is a predicted model, not a curated record.
UUUCCUCUGAAGCACCUGAAGCUGUGGGAACUAAGUGGAAACCUCACACACAGCAGGAUUUCUCGAUGCUCUCAGAGCUUUGCCAAGGUUAAAGUGCUCAGAAAUACCCUGAUGAGUGAAUAAACUCAUAAGUUACCAGCAAAGUUUAAAUACCUUCCUGCCAAAUCUGGAAAGAUGAGAGUUCCUCCUCUGGAGGAAGAGAGAUGACCACGUGUUGGGUGCCUUGCAGAAGACAUAAUAUCCAAGGAUUCGACCUCUAACAGACCAUGUCUGCUCUACUGGGCCUCAUGCUUAAGGAUUGAGAAGCUCUGAUAAAACCUGAAACUUAUAUCUUUGGGAAAGGUCAGUCUUGGAUCUCUGUGUCACCGGAAGGAAAAUUCAGGCUGCAGCAGUAAAUAUCAGCCUGGAGACGUUUUCCUAAGGGGAGGGACAUGGGGAGUGAAAAACAAAACUUUCUGCAGAAACCUCUUGCAGCCUUUCCCCAUGUAAAGCCAAAUGAUGAUAACUCUCAUUCCUUCAUGCACUUCUGUGUCUCCAAGCUAGAAAAACAAGUACCACAGAAACUGAUGAAGGAAAUCAUAUAAUGAAGGAAGUGAAAGAGUCAUGAUGGAAAAAAAAAUAAGAAGCCAGCCUGGAGAGCAGAAUGAACAGGAAAAUGUAUGAGAGAAGUAAAUGAGAUGACAAGAAUAAACAGCAAAAUCUGACGGGAUAUCAGAAAUAGGCCAAGCACAGAAAGGUACUUCUGGAAUUUCACAGUUGACCCUGUCUGUGUGAGGGGAAGAAGAUGCUCGUUAUGCCAAUGUAUGAGACUCGCUUAUUUCAUCUGCAGAGAAGAAGGAGCACAGGAGCAUGAUAUGUGGUGGAGGGGAAGAAAAUCUUUCUCCCAGCUUAGCCGAGGGCUUUAGUCUUGUUCAAGUUCACAAUAGUCUCUGGAUGUCCUGUGAAGAUAUCUGAAAAUGUCAUCUCAGGACUAGCUUUCAGCAGCCAAUCCUGUUGUGAAUGAAUAGGCAAAAUGAGAGAAGAAUAAAGGAAGUAAGCUCUGAAUUCCUCAAGAUUUUAUUCAUGUGAGAACACUCAAGAAUUCUAUGAGAGAAAUACUCAAUGUUCCUUCUACCUAGAGGAGAUGGAGUUCAUCAUUUCUAUGAUGUUUCAUUUGUCCUGUCCCUCAGCUGCAGCUCAGCUCUUGUUUAGAGGCCCUGGAAAGAGUAGUUUGUGUGUUGGAAGGGAGGACCAAGUUUGCAAAAGACCUUUCCAGUUCAGGCCUCACUCUAUCAGUACGGAGCAGCCAUUAUGGAGAUCUGUGUCCUUGGUGCCUUGCUGUGGUGUUCAUAGCAAACCAGUGACCAAGAGGAAUUUAUCUGUCCCUGGGGCAGGGAGCAAGUAUGGAGAGCAUCCUUAGAAGAAACGUGAAAUGAUGAGGCCUCUGGCACCUCUGGCACUGUGAUUGUUUAGUAAACAUAGCUCUCCUCUGUGAAGUCACCUUGAGAUCUCCUGGAGACUGCCAUUCAGAAAUGGGAGAAAGGAGACGGAUGGAGCAACAUCCCUCCACCUUCCAGUGUUUCUCAGCCCCUUGUCUCUUGGGAUGUUGGGAUGUCGAGGCAUUAAAAGUGAGUCCCUCAGCCCCUGGGCUUUUUGUGAAGGAAGUGACAGGCAUGUUUUUUCAAUGCAUGCCAAACAGGUGGGUCAUCCACCUCCCCAGCCUUGAGCACAGCUCCGAGUGACUCCACACUUACAAUAAGAUUUCUGCACCCAUGCUCACACUGUGCCACUUUGCACUGCUCAUGAGGCACAACGAAGAGGAUACGCUACCUCCAUUUCAUCUGGCUGCUUCUGCUUUUUCCAGUCCCUCAACUUUUCUCUCCCUGUGCCAUCAUUUCUCUCUCCCACAUCCACAGACAAGCAGAGCAGAAGCCUCCUCCCGCUCCUCCAGUAGAGGCAGGGGGAGGGAAAUGAGGAGGUGAAGCAGCAUGCUGGAAUGUGAGAUGUGUGAUGAGAUUUCAGCAAGCUACACUGUCCUGUGGAGAACAGGCAAUUACCCCAAUCCAACUUGUUUCUUCACUGGUUCCAUUCCCAAAGCCCUGUGCCUCGGUUUCCUGGCAAGUGAAAGCAUUAGCUGUUACCACCCCCAUGUGCUCUGCUGAGAGUAGGGCAGGGAGGUGGACCUGUUUGUGGGAGGUGAUUGAUUACUAAUGUCUUAUUGCUGUUGUUGUCAUAUAUACUGAGCAGAUGUUGUGUUAUUUUCAAUCUUUCCACUAAGCUGACAAUUUAGGUCACACCAAGUUAGACCAUGGCUAGAUCAUUUUGCCACAGAACUACCCAAUAUAAGCAGAUUGCCUUGCAAUUUGCUUGCAGUUGGAACUCCACUCACUCAGGUUACUGCCAGAGUAUCUAACCAGAAUCUCAGAUGGAUUUUGCAGCUUCUUAGCUUCACAUUGCCUAAACUCCGUCAUUAUAAGUAACCAAGCCACAAAGUUAAGUGCUGACUUGCUGAUGUAAAACUAGGAUUGCUGUGAUAAGGUAAG